CAUAAUGCAUUUUCUUUCACUCGAUAAACAUCAUUGGUUCCUAGAUUUCUGGCUGGACUCUGAAAUUUAUUGUACAUGACAUAUGUUCGGAAGAAAUGAAAGUAAACUGCAUGAAAUGGAUUCACCAUAAUCUGACAGCGUCCAUGACAUACAAUAUGAACUGUGAAACUCCCUUCAGUGACACUAUGACGUACAUUAUUUACGCCUGCAAGUUGCCACUGGAUCAAAAGCGUCUCCAAGUAUUUGAAACAAGAACUUCAGCCUCUAUGCAAACUAGGAACCGAUGGAUAGUUAUGAGCAAAAAUAUGGAGCAAAGAUUGAAGAAUUGAUGGAAGAAGCAGCUGCUGGUUCCUGCUUGCCUGUAAUUUACUCAUCCUUGAAAAACAGAGCAUGGUCAGUAAAGCAAUUUGAAAAAAAAGGAGUUUUGUUUCAAGGAGAUUAACAAUAUGCACUCACCCUUUUUUUGCUGCUAGCACAUUUGGA
This 483-nucleotide long non-coding RNA is filed under the name Triticum aestivum (bread wheat). RNAcentral describes it as "long non-coding RNA (TAES_LNC011248)". The record is from RNAcentral. Lineage: Eukaryota; Viridiplantae; Streptophyta; Magnoliopsida; Poales; Poaceae.